GAUGAACGCUGGCGGCGUGCCUAAUACAUGCAAGUCGAGCGAACAGACGAGGAGCUUGCUCCUCUGACGUUAGCGGCGGACGGGUGAGUAACACGUGGAUAACCUACCUAUAAGACUGGGAUAACUUCGGGAAACCGGAGCUAAUACCGGAUAAUAUAUUGAACCGCAUGGUUCAAUAGUGAAAGACGGUUUUGCUGUCACUUAUAGAUGGAUCCGCGCCGCAUUAGCUAGUUGGUAAGGUAACGGCUUACCAGGGCAACGAUGCGUAGCCGACCUGAGAGGGUGAUCGGCCACACUGGAACUGAGACACGGUCCAGACUCCUACGGGAGGCAGCAGAAGGGAAUCUUCCGCAAUGGGCGAAAGCCUGACGGAGCAACGCCGCGUGAGUGAUGAAGGUCUUCGGAUCGUAAAACUCUGUUAUUAGGGAAGAACAAAUGUGUAAGUAACUAUGCACGUCUUGACGGAACCUAAUCAGAAAGCCACGGCUAACUACGUG
RNAcentral lists this ribosomal RNA (497 nucleotides) under uncultured bacterium. RNAcentral describes it as "partial 16S ribosomal RNA". It matches the Rfam family "Bacterial small subunit ribosomal RNA", at positions 28 to 507 of the family's 1533-position model. The record is from RNAcentral.